RNAcentral lists this ribosomal RNA (1405 nucleotides) under Henneguya chydadea. RNAcentral's name for it is "SSU rRNA". It matches the Rfam family "Eukaryotic small subunit ribosomal RNA", at positions 555 to 1721 of the family's 1831-position model. The record is from RNAcentral. Lineage: Eukaryota; Metazoa; Cnidaria; Myxozoa; Bivalvulida; Myxobolidae.
GCAAGUCUGGUGCCAGCAGCCGCGGUAAUUCCAGCUCCAGUAGCGUAUAUCAAAGUUGCUGCGCUUAAAACGCUCGUAGUUGGAUCACUAACUGCGGGUCGGUGGAGCUAGGGCAUGUGCAAAACAUCCCAUCGCCGGAGUGUGGUGUCCUCAUUGCAUUUCGGAGUUGGGAUAGUAUAUGUUCUAGUUCAAUAGCCGGCUCGUAGUAAUUGCAUGUGAGGAUGACUGUUGGUCUUAAGUGCGUCGACAGUCGUGUCUCACGGGGUGUGCCUUGAGUAAAUCAGAGUGCUUAAAGCAGGCUUACGCUUGAAUGUUGAUAGCAUGGAACGAACAAUCGUGUAUGGUGUGUGCUGAUUCUGGUGCGGGAGUGAUCCUUGCACUACAGUACACGACACCGACCGCCAAUUACGGAUGUUGGUUCCGUAUUGGGGUACUGAUUAAGAGGAGCGGUUGGGGGCAUUGGUAUUCGGUAGCGAGAGGUGAAAUUCUUGGACCUACCGAGGACUAACAAAUGCGAAGGCAUCUGUCCAGACCGUUUCCAUUAAUCAAGAACGAUAGUGAGAGGUUCGAAGACGAUCAGAUACCGUCCUAGUUCUCACUGUAAACGAUGCCGACCCGGGAUCAGCUUGUUAGCUAAUAUAUGCUCGAGGUUGGUCCCCCUGGGAAACCUAAAGUCUUUCGGUUGCGGGGGGAGUAUGGUCGCAAGGCUGAAACUUAAAGGAAUUGACGGAAGGGCACCACCAGGGGUGGAGCCUGCGGCUUAAUUUGACUCAACACGGGAAAACUUACCUGGUCCGGACAUCAAAAGGAUAAUCAGACUUACGCUCUUAUUUGAUAUGGUGAUUGGUGGUGCAUGGCCGUUCUUAGUUCGUGGAGUGAUCUGUCAGGCUUAUCCCGGUAACGAACGAGACUGCGCUCUCCAUUUGACGGGUCGGAGAAGGUGCGGAUCUUGGUAAAAUUUGGCAACAAAUUUUGCCUCGACUUGCAUUGCAGGCAGAGAGGGUAGGAAACAUGGAACCACGGCAACGUGGGAAAGUGUGUCUGAUACCUCUUUCCCGCCGAUUAUACGAAGUAUGGUGGUCAAAAGCCGUACGUUGUAUCAUGGAGAGACAACGGAACAUUAUAAAAUCCGAGGAAGUGCAGCUAUAACAGGUCUGUGAUGCCCUUAGAUGUUCAGGGCUGCACGCGCGCUACAAUGGCGAUGACAGCGAGUUUCUGGAUCGAAAGAUUCGGGUAACCUUUAAUCAUCGCCGUGAUGGGGACUGACGUUUGUAAAUACGUCACAAAAGAGGAAUCCCUAGUACGUCCGAUUCAUUAAAUCGGGCGGAUUUAGUCCCUGCCCUUUGUACACACCGCCCGUCGCUACUACCGAGUGAAUGGUGUCAUAAUGCCUUGGGAGCGGAUU